RNAcentral lists this ribosomal RNA (253 nucleotides) under uncultured bacterium. RNAcentral describes it as "partial 16S ribosomal RNA". It matches the Rfam family "Bacterial small subunit ribosomal RNA", at positions 524 to 776 of the family's 1533-position model. The record is from RNAcentral.
UACGUAGGGGGCAAGCGUUAUCCGGAUUCACUGGGUGUAAAGGGAGCGUAGACGGCGACGCAAGUCUGGAGUGAAAGCCCGGGGCCCAACCCCGGGACUGCUCUGGAAACUGCGGCGCUGGAGUACGGGAGGGGCAGGCGGAAUUCCUGGUGUAGCGGUGAAAUGCGUAGAUAUCAGGAGGAACACCGGUGGCGAAAGCGGCUCACUGGACUGCAACUGACACUGAGGCUCGAAAGUGUGGGUAUCAAACAGG